GACGAACGCUGGCGGCGUGCUUAACACAUGCAAGUCGAGCGGUAAGGCCCUUUCGGGGGUACACGAGCGGCGAACGGGUGAGUAACACGUGGGUGACCUGCCCUCAGCUCUGGGAUAAGCCUGGGAAACCGGGUCUAAUACCGGAUAUGACUCCAUGACGCAUGUUGUGGGGUGGAAAGCCUUGUGCGGCUGAGGAUGGGCCCGCGGCCUAUCAGCUUGUUGGUGGGGUGAUGGCCUACCAAGGCGACGACGGGUAGCCGGCCUGAGAGGGCGACCGGCCACACUGGGGACUGAGACACGGCCCAGACUCCUACGGGAGGCAGCAGUGGGGAAUCUUGCGCAAUGGGCAAAGCCUGACGCAGCGACGCCGCGUGAGGGAUGAC
RNAcentral lists this ribosomal RNA (383 nucleotides) under uncultured bacterium. RNAcentral's name for it is "bacterial SSU rRNA". It matches the Rfam family "Bacterial small subunit ribosomal RNA", at positions 28 to 412 of the family's 1533-position model. The record is from RNAcentral.